GCAAGAAAUUAUCAGAACUGAUAUCCUUGAAUACCUUAGCCAGGUCAAGAUCUCCUGUUUAAGUGAUGACUCUCCUCAAAAGAUAAAUAAUGAAAGCAAGUGGCUGCAAGAACACUGACCUGGACUACAAGCUGUGCCUCUGAUCCCUCCUGCCAGCCCGAGAUGCCUCAGCAGACCAGGGCCAGGAGUUCUUGUCCAGCACUACUUCUAAUGAACGACUUCUAAAGGAUUAAAACUGCCAGUCUACAGCAUUUUAGAGGUCUCUUGUCUGGCUUUUAAGAAGAGGCUGACUUGGACAGCAUCAGAAGAAAUCAAACUUUUCACUCCUUCCUGCUUUCAAUACAUUUUUCUUUCACUGUCAGCAUGCAAAGUGAUUGAUACAUGAGACAUUGUGCAAUAUAUGCACAAAAUAUUUUCUUCUAAAGUGAAACCACUGUGUGGGUAUCAGGUAACUCUUUUUACAUUCUAAUGGCAUUGAUGAUCAUUACAAAUGUGCCAAUCCUAUAAAAUCUAAUCCCAUGACUGCUGAGACAAUUAGUUUCAUAUGCUGUAUCAAGAAUCAUAAUUUGCUUUAUUCUAUCAUUUAUAACAUUAAAGUGAAGAACUAAUAAUAAAAGCAAACUGCAUGAUUUUCUUCUACAUUUUAUUCUGUUUAUCGCUCAGGCACAUUUCACAGCAAGACAUAACUAACUAGUCAAUUUUUUUAAUAUCUCACCCUAAAAUGGCAUCUGAUCAGUUUUAUCAAAAAAAAAGCAAAUAAUUUUUUCUAUUUUGUCCAUAGAAAAAAACACACAUUCAUUAUAUGUAAAGGAGUCAGGCAGCUCCAUCUUUACAAUGCAACAACUAAAAUCUUGUAGAGAACAAUAUGGACAGUAUAGGGAUAAUAAAAGCAGCAGAAUUGAUGUAGUGUGUAAAUGAAAACCUAGAAGCUGUUCAAGUUAAAGAAAUAAUCAUUAAUUUCAGUUUUUCUGUUCAUUCAGUUUGUUGUUUAAAACACAGUUGUGCUAUUGACUGUGCUACA
Non-coding RNA from Cyanistes caeruleus (blue tit), 1021 nucleotides. Lineage: Eukaryota; Metazoa; Chordata; Aves; Passeriformes; Paridae. The record is from RefSeq and is a predicted model, not a curated record.